RNAcentral lists this unclassified non-coding RNA (242 nucleotides) under Glomus sp. RNAcentral describes it as "partial contains 5.8S ribosomal RNA and internal transcribed spacer 2". The stretch from base 1 to 65 matches the Rfam family "5.8S ribosomal RNA", at positions 84 to 154 of the family's 154-position model. The record is from RNAcentral. Lineage: Eukaryota; Fungi; Glomeromycota; Glomeromycetes; Glomerales; Glomeraceae.
GUGAAUCAUCAAAUCUUUGAACGCAAAUUGCACUCUCUUCGGAGAGUAUGCCUGUUUGAGGGCCAGCAUAAAAAAAUUUGACAUAGUUGUUGUUACGCGGUAAUAUUCGUCGGGAAUUGGGUCAUCUUAUCCCUUUGGUUUUAAGAAGAUUAAAAUUUUCUUUAAGAUUCCAAGAAAGUUUAUAAGAUUUUAUUUUUUUAUACGUAUAAGGGAUCGAUCUUAAUUAGUCGCGGCCUUUGUUU